This 72-nucleotide transfer RNA is filed under the name Cavia porcellus (domestic guinea pig). It matches the Rfam family "tRNA". Rfam says of the family: Transfer RNA (tRNA) molecules are approximately 80 nucleotides in length. Lineage: Eukaryota; Metazoa; Chordata; Mammalia; Rodentia; Caviidae. The record is from Rfam by way of RNAcentral.
UGGGGUGUAGCUCAGGGGUAGAGCCCUUGCCUGACAUGCAUGAAGCCCUGGGUUCAAUUUGUAGCACCACUA